GCUCCAGCCUCUGGACACUGUUAGCUGGAGAUCAUCCUCAAUUCCUAGAAUCUGUUCUCCAGUCCCAGAUGACUACCAUAGUUCUUUGCCACAUGGGGUCCCCCAUGGCCACUAUCACUGAGUCCACAAGGAAAAUCCCCAGAGCAGAUCUUCCAGUGAGCCAGCAUACUAUUGUGGCAGUCAUAAACCAUUAACACCAAAACCUGAUAUCUACAAAGCUGUGUUGCAUUGGCCAAUGCAGCACUCAGUGCAUCCAUUCUCACUGUGGAAACUAGGAGGUAUUUGGGGUGAAUGCCAGUGAGAUUCAUUAUCCCAAGAGAGGAAGAGUUUUGAGCCAGCACAUCUCCUGGAAUCCAUCAUUUCCUAUCCCUAAAAUGGGUAAAAUAACAGCUCUGGAGUGCGGCAAAAACACAACAUAAUUUGUGGGAUCCAGAAACUAUUUCCACCUUCUGGCAAUGCCUCUGUUAACGCUGCUGCUGUGAGCCAUCCUCAGCCCAGAGUGAAGAAAAAGAGCAAGCAAAGAUCACAUUCAGAAAAAGAGACUCG
Molecule: non-coding RNA, 546 nt
Organism: Heterocephalus glaber (naked mole-rat)
Lineage: Eukaryota; Metazoa; Chordata; Mammalia; Rodentia; Bathyergidae
Source: RefSeq, a predicted model, not a curated record